RNAcentral lists this ribosomal RNA (468 nucleotides) under uncultured bacterium. Its description in RNAcentral is "partial 16S ribosomal RNA". It matches the Rfam family "Bacterial small subunit ribosomal RNA", at positions 28 to 507 of the family's 1533-position model. The record is from RNAcentral.
GACGAACGCUGGCGGCGUGCUUAACACAUGCAAGUCGAACGGAAAGGCCCUGCUUUUGUGGGGUGCUCGAGUGGCGAACGGGUGAGUAACACGUGAGUAACCUGCCCUUGACUUUGGGAUAACUUCAGGAAACUGGGGCUAAUACCGGAUAGGAGCUCCUGCUGCAUGGUGGGGGUUGGAAAGUUUCGGCGGUUGGGGAUGGACUCGCGGCUUAUCAGCUUGUUGGUGGGGUAGUGGCUUACCAAGGCUUUGACGGGUAGCCGGCCUGAGAGGGUGACCGGCCACAAUGGGACUGAGAUACGGCCCAGACUCGUACGGGAGGCAGAAGUGGGGAAUAUUGCACAAUGGGCGGAAGCCUGAUGCAGCAACGCCGCGUGCGGGAUGACGGCCUUCGGGUUGUAAACCGCUUUCGCCUGUGACGAAGCGUGAGUGACGGUAAUGGGUAAAGAAGCACCGGCUAACUACGUG